CCAUCAGAACUCCGCAGUCAAGCACGCUUGGGCCAGUAUAGUACUGGGAUGGGUGACCUCCCGGGAAGUCCUGGUGCUGCACCC
This 84-nucleotide ribosomal RNA is filed under the name Salvinia oblongifolia. Lineage: Eukaryota; Viridiplantae; Streptophyta; Polypodiopsida; Salviniales; Salviniaceae. The record is from RNAcentral.